RNAcentral lists this transfer RNA (82 nucleotides) under Talaromyces pinophilus. Its description in RNAcentral is "tRNA-Leu (TAA) (tRNA-Leu-TAA-1-1)". It matches the Rfam family "tRNA". Rfam says of the family: Transfer RNA (tRNA) molecules are approximately 80 nucleotides in length. Their secondary structure includes four short double-helical elements and three loops (D, anti-codon, and T loops). Lineage: Eukaryota; Fungi; Ascomycota; Eurotiomycetes; Eurotiales; Trichocomaceae. The record is from RNAcentral.
GGCGGAAUGGCCGAGUGGUCUAAGGCGGCAGAUUUAAGCCCUGCUCCCGAAAGGGGCGCGCGUUCGAACCGCGCUUCCGUCA